RNAcentral lists this transfer RNA (75 nucleotides) under bacterium. Its description in RNAcentral is "tRNA-His". It matches the Rfam family "tRNA". From Rfam's summary of the family: Transfer RNA (tRNA) molecules are approximately 80 nucleotides in length. Their secondary structure includes four short double-helical elements and three loops (D, anti-codon, and T loops). The record is from RNAcentral.
GUGAGCGUAGCUCAACUGGUAGAGCUCCGGGUUGUGGUCCCGGCGGUUGCGCGUUCGAAUCGCGUCGCUCACCCA